RNAcentral lists this ribosomal RNA (735 nucleotides) under uncultured bacterium. RNAcentral's name for it is "bacterial SSU rRNA". It matches the Rfam family "Bacterial small subunit ribosomal RNA", at positions 28 to 776 of the family's 1533-position model. The record is from RNAcentral.
GACGAACGCUGGCGGCGCGCCUAACACACGCAAGUCGAACGAGCGAGAGAGAGCUUGCUUUCUCGAGCGAGUGGCGAACGGGUGAGUAACGCGUGAGGAACCUGCCUCAAAGAGGGGGACAACAGUUGGAAACGACUGCUAAUACCGCAUAAGCCCACAGGUCGGCAUCGACCAGAGGGAAAAGGAGCAAUCCGCUUUGAGAUGGCCUCGCGUCCGAUUAGCUAGUUGGUGAGGUAACGGCCCACCAAGGCGACGAUCGGUAGCCGGACUGAGAGGUUGAACGGCCACAUUGGGACUGAGACACGGCCCAGACUCCUACGGGAGGCAGCAGUGGGGAAUAUUGCACAAUGGGGGAAACCCUGAUGCAGCGACGCCGCGUGGAGGAAGAAGGUCUUCGGAUUGUAAACUCCUGUUGUUGGGGAAGAUAAUGACGGUACUCAACAAGGAAGUGACGGCUAACUACGUGCCAGCAGCCGCGGUAAAACGUAGGUCACAAGCGUUGUCCGGAAUUACUGGGUGUAAAGGGAGCGCAGGCGGGAAGACAAGUUGGGAGUGAAAUCUAUGGGCUCAACCCAUAAACUGCUUUCAAAACUGUUUUUCUUGAGUAGUGCAGAGGUAGGCGGAAUUCCCGGUGUAGCGGUGGAAUGCGUAGAUAUCGGGAGGAACACCAGUGGCGAAGGCGGCCUACUGGGCACCAACUGACGCUGAGGCUCGAAAGUGUGGGUAGCAAACAGG